CCCUUAGAUGUUCUGGGCCGCACGCGCGCUACACUGAUGCAUUCAACGAGCCUAUCCUUGACCGACAGGUCCGGGUAAUCUUUGAAUCUGCAUCGUGACGGGGAUAGAUUAUUGCAAUUAUUAAUCUUCAACGAGGAAUGCCUAGUAGGCGCAAGUCAUCAGCUUGCGUCGAUUACGUCCCUGCCCUUUGUACACACCGCCCGUCGCUCCUACCGAUUGAGUGCUCAGGUGAAUAAUUCGGACUGCAGCAAUGUUCGGAUCCCGAACGUUGCAGCGGAAAGUUUAGUGAACCUUAUCACUUAGAGGAAGGAGAAGUCGUAACA
This 323-nucleotide ribosomal RNA is filed under the name uncultured eukaryote. RNAcentral describes it as "partial 18S ribosomal RNA". It matches the Rfam family "Eukaryotic small subunit ribosomal RNA", at positions 1470 to 1796 of the family's 1831-position model. The record is from RNAcentral.